RNAcentral lists this long non-coding RNA (1962 nucleotides) under Ficedula albicollis (Collared flycatcher). RNAcentral's name for it is "lncRNA (ENSFALG00000025805.1)". Lineage: Eukaryota; Metazoa; Chordata; Aves; Passeriformes; Muscicapidae. The record is from RNAcentral.
AUGGGCAGCCCUAAACACACACACGCACGGUCCUUCUCCUGGCCUGUGUUCACACACAGCCUCCAUCACCGACAGGCACCACCUGUGGUUUUGGCUGGCCCUCACGCUGCUUUGUGCUCACACGCACACUCAGAAUGUUCCUCACACACACACUCAGAGUGUUACACACACACACUCAGAGUGCUCCUCACACACAUGGAAUGUUCCUCACACACACACACAGAGUGUUCCUCACACACACACACACACACACGUUCAGUGUGUUCCUCACACACACACAAACGCACACAGUGUUCCUCACACACACACACACACACAGUGUUACACACACACACAGUGUUACACACACACACAUUCAGAGUGUUCCUCACACACACACACACAGUGUUCCUCACACACACACACAGUGUUACACACACACACAUUCAGUGUGCUCCUCACACACACACGCAGAGUGUUCCUCGCACACACCCAACGCCACAGGCCAUCCACACCCUGGGCAGGAACAGCAGAUCCUCCCUGUGCACACCCACAGGCUGCUCACACCUGCACAUCACCCCUGCUGCUCACACUCCCCAUUCCUCUGUCUCACUUGGGUCCCCUCUGUACCUGUGUCCCCCACUUUUGCCCCUCCUCAGGUGUCACCUCCUGAGAGGUGAAAUGAUGGCUUUAGCUUUCUGUUCCCCACUGACCUGCGGGUGUCACCGGUGCUGGGCACACCAGGGCUGCACCGUGCAGGUCCAUCCCUUCUCCAGCCCUGCACAGCUCCUGCACCGCGCAGGUCCAUCCCUUCUCCAGCCCUGCACAGCUCCUGCACCGCGCAGGUCCAUCCCUUCUCCAGCCCUGCACAGCUCCUGCACCGCGCAGGUCCAUCCCUUCUCCAGCCCUGCACAGCUCCUGCACCGCGCAGGUCCAUCCCUUCUCCAGCCCUGCACAGCUCCUGCACCGCGCAGGUCCAUCCCUUCUCCAGCCCUGCACAGCUCCUGCACCGCGCAGGUCCAUCCCUUCUCCAGCCCUGCACAGCUCCUGCACCGCGCAGGUCCAUCCCUUCUCCAGCCCUGCACAGCUCCUGCACCGCGCAGGUCCAUCCCUUCUCCAGCCCUGCACAGCUCCUGCACCGCGCAGGUCCAUCCCUUCUCCAGCCCUGCACAGCUCCUGCACCGCGCAGGUCCAUCCCUUCUCCAGCCCUGCACAGCUCCUGCACCGCGCAGGUCCAUCCCUUCUCCAGCCCUGCACAGCUCCUGCACCGCGCAGGUCCAUCCCUUCUCCAGCCCUGCACAGCUCCUGCACCGCGCAGGUCCAUCCCUUCUCCAGCCCUGCACAGCUCCUGCACCGCGCAGGUCCAUCCCUUCUCCAGCCCUGCACAGCUCCUGCACCGCGCAGGUCCAUCCCUUCUCCAGCCCUGCACAGCUCCUGCACCGCGCAGGUCCAUCCCUUCUCCAGCCCUGCACAGCUCCUGCACCGCGCAGGUCCAUCCCUUCUCCAGCCCUGCACAGCUCCUGCACCGCGCAGGUCCAUCCCUUCUCCAGCCCUGCACAGCUCCUGCACCGCGCAGGUCCAUCCCUUCUCCAGCCCUGCACAGCUCCUGCACCGCGCAGGUCCAUCCCUUCUCCAGCCCUGCACAGCUCCUGCACCGCGCAGGUCCAUCCCUUCUCCAGCCCUGCACAGCUCCUGCACCGCGCAGGUCCAUCCCUUCUCCAGCCCUGCACAGCUCCUGCACCGCGCAGGUCCAUCCCUUCUCCAGCCCUGCACAGCUCCUGCACCGCGCAGGUCCAUCCCUUCUCCAGCCCUGCACAGCUCCUGCACCGCGCAGGUCCAUCCCUUCUCCAGCCCUGCACAGCUCCUGUCCAGGAGUCUCCUCAGCAGCCCUGCAGUGGUUACACAGUUGUCGAACUGCUCCAGAUCACUCUGCAAAACUUGCACAUUGCCGCUGCCACUUCCUGUCCUACACAAACUGGCUGA